AGCUUGUCAAUCUUCCAGACAGUUCGACCAAUUCCAGGUUCUAUACAUUUUAGCAUUUUAGAGCUCUUGAUUGUCGGGUGUGGAAGAUACAACCACCCACUGAAUCCCCAAGUCCGUCAGUUCGUAAAGUCAAUCGGCAUGAAGCUAGAAACUGUUGAUUCUGAAAUGCUGCAUCAACUUACAACAUACUGAAUGAGGAAGGCAGGAUCGUAGCUGCUGCAUUGCUUCCUUAUGGAGUUACAUCGUAAGAAACUCAACACCUCUGGAAUACUGUAGAACAAACUUCGAACAACUUGCCUCGAUCUUUAUAGUUGAAACACCAACAUGGUCUUCUUGUCUACUGUAAAUGAUAUAUUUCACUCUAUUUGUAAAACUUUUGCAAAAAA
Non-coding RNA from Arabidopsis thaliana (thale cress), 386 nucleotides. The record is from RefSeq. Lineage: Eukaryota; Viridiplantae; Streptophyta; Magnoliopsida; Brassicales; Brassicaceae.